AUUGAACGCUGGCGGCAGGCUUAACACAUGCAAGUCGAGCGGGGUGAUGGUGCUUGCACUAUUACUUAGCGGCGGACGGGUGAGUAAUGCUUAGGAAUCUGCCUAUUAGUGGGGGACAACAUCUCGAAAGGGAUGCUAAUACCGCAUACGUCCUACGGGAGAAAGAAGGGGAUCACUUGUGACCUUGCGCUAAUAGAUGAGCCUAAGUCGGAUUAGCUAGUUGGUGGGGUAAAGGCCUACAAAGGCGACGAUCUGUAGCGGGUCUGAGAGGAUGAUCCGCCACACUGGGACUGAGAGACGGCCCAGACGCCUACGGGAGGCAGCAGUGGGGAAUAUUGGAAAAUGGGGGGAACCCUGAUCCAGCCAUGCCGCGUGUGUGAAGAAGGCCUUAUGGUUGUAAAGCACUUUAAGCGAGGAGGAGGCUACUGAGACUAAUACUCUUGGAUAGUGGACGUUACUCGCAGAAUAAGCACCGGCUAACUCUGUGCCAGCCGCCGCGGUAA
RNAcentral lists this ribosomal RNA (503 nucleotides) under uncultured bacterium. Its description in RNAcentral is "partial 16S ribosomal RNA". It matches the Rfam family "Bacterial small subunit ribosomal RNA", at positions 30 to 523 of the family's 1533-position model. The record is from RNAcentral.